Pipra filicauda (Wire-tailed manakin) is the source of this 957-nucleotide long non-coding RNA. RefSeq lists it as uncharacterized. NCBI's taxonomy places the organism in Eukaryota, Metazoa, Chordata, Aves, Passeriformes, Pipridae. The transcript has 3 exons. The record is from RefSeq and is a predicted model, not a curated record.
UAAUCCUUCUUUCCCAGUUGAAUGACGUGAAGCCUUGAGCUCAUCCUGGAAAUCUCCUUCCCUUGCAUCACUCAUCACCCCUCCAGCACUUGGCACUUCUGUUCAGGGCCAAGGUGGGAAAAAGUCUCUGGAUGUUGCCCCCGAAUGCGGUCGAGAAUGGUGAUUCUGGCACGUUGCUUUGUGCCUUGAAGAGCAGUUAUUUGACCCACCCAGCCUGGGGACAAGCAGCUGUGACAGUGAGGGUGUUUGUGAAGAGGUCUCACUUGGAGUUACAGGAUCACAAAGUGAUGCUGAGUGAUUGGAUCCUCUGCACUAGAAGACAGAGGAGGCUGAAAUACAGAGAUGCCCCUGGCUACACCGGUUAAUGCAAAGCCCUAAAAAAUGGAGUAACCAAAACAUCUGCUGUGCUGCCUGACCAGAACAAAGCUCAUCUCAUUCAGCUGCUUAGAAGUUCUGAAGUCUAUAAACAAAGCAAGAGCAGGCUGUAGGAUUUAAUUAGCUGAAUGUCUUGAGAGCUCUCCCAGGAGGUGGGGAUGAAGCAGAGCCCAAGGAACACAGCACAGAGGGGCAGAGGUUCAGUGCCCAGCUGCACACCAGGUUCUGUCACACACUGGGACAGUGCCACAGUGGCAGCACUGUGCCAUCACUGCUGCUCUUACUUGCUGUUGCAGCACCUGGAGGCAAAAGCUCUGUGGGGUCAAAUGCUGCAGAAGCAGGCCAGAGCAAACGAAUGGAUGAAAUCCAUGCUGUUACAGGACAGGGUGCCCUAUUUAUCUGCUUGCCCCAGUCCUUAAAUACGUGGUUUGCUCAGCUUCCCAGCCGGCUGGGCCCAUUUUAUUGCAGUCUCUCCUGCUGGCACUGCCAGCCCUGCCCUCACAGUGCCAGUCACAGUCAGGUAACCCCCUGCAAACGGCCACUGCCGUCACCUCCUCUUACUCUCCACCCCACUUUUAUGGA